AGAGUUUGAUCCUGGCUCAGGACGAACGCUGGCGGCGUGCCUAACACAUGCAAGUCGAGCGAUGAAGUUUCCUUCGGGAAAUGGAUUAGCGGCGGACGGGUGAGUAACACGUGGGUAACCUGCCUUAUAGUGGGGGAUAGCCUUUCGAAAGGAAGAUUAAUACCGCAUAAGAUUGUAGUAUCGCAUGAUAUAGCAAUUAAANGGAGCAAUCCGCUAUAAGAUGGACCCGCGUCGCAUUAGCUAGUUGGUGAGGUAAUGGCUCACCAAGGCGACGAUGCGUAGCCGACCUGAGAGGGUGAUCGGCCACAUUGGGACUGAGACACGGCCCAGACUCCUACGGGAGGCAGCAGUGGGGAAUAUUGCACAAUGGGCGAAAGCCUGAUGCAGCAACGCCGCGUGAGUGAUGACGGCCUUCGGGUUGUAAAACUCUGUCUUCAGGGACGAUAAUGACGGUACCUGAGGAGGAAGCCACGGCUAACUACGU
This 484-nucleotide ribosomal RNA is filed under the name uncultured Clostridium sp. RNAcentral's name for it is "bacterial SSU rRNA". It matches the Rfam family "Bacterial small subunit ribosomal RNA", at positions 8 to 506 of the family's 1533-position model. Lineage: Bacteria; Bacillati; Bacillota; Clostridia; Eubacteriales; Clostridiaceae. The record is from RNAcentral.